Molecule: long non-coding RNA, 1272 nt
Organism: Pimephales promelas (fathead minnow)
Lineage: Eukaryota; Metazoa; Chordata; Actinopteri; Cypriniformes; Leuciscidae
Source: RefSeq, a predicted model, not a curated record
UUUAAAUUCAUUAUUUAAAAUUAAAGAUAUUUAAAUUGUUAAAUGUUAUAAUUCUAGAUGUUUAUUUAAAUGCUGCGUGCCUUUUGACGGUUACAUGCGCGUAAACAUUGAGUCGCAAAAGCUAUCUGAUUCAAAGACAGGAGCGCGCGCGAGCACGAGCAGAUGGAAACCAUGGAAACGAGGAAACCUCAUCAACUGACAAACAGCAAGACUAGUCUCUCACUGUUGUUUUCUCUGCUUUCAGGUAAGUUUAGUUACCAAAAUCACUCAAAUAAUACAUAUAAAUGUUCCGGACACCUUUCUUACGUGUAAUUGAUACACUUCUGUUGAAUAUUUACUUUAUAGAAAUGGUUUUGUGUCUUCCGAAAAAGUCCGUUAGCCUCUCCGUUUUCAGAAGAGCUAAGUUAAGUUUACGUUACAAUUGAGCUCUUGUUUUACAUAAGUUUGGGUUUUUAACCACAUUUUUGUGUUGAUAACAGUUUUUGAUAGUUUUGUUUUGCUGGUAAUUUGUCAGUGGGUGGGAAGUAAGCUAAGUUAUUUAACCUGAAAUAAUUCAUUGUAACGUACUGUUAAUGACGUCACUUACAAAGAUUGAUAAUAAGUGAUUUCAGGAGGAACAGAAAAAAACCCUCCACAACAAAGGGGGAAUUAUUGUUUAUCAUGAUAAUAAUUUGCAUUUAUUGCAUGCACAAUAUAUUACGUUACGAUUUUUUAUAUUCUUUAUCUUUUCUGCAUUUCAUCUCUGCUCUUGCUUGCUUCCUUGUAAUAAACCAUUUGUCCUAUUGUAAAUUCUAUGUAACAUUGUUGGCUCUGUGACAUGUUAUUUUCUAGAAGAUCAUCUGAUUGCCUGCUGCACCCCCUGGUCCAAGACAAUCUGCACGGCUAUGAACUCGACUAAUGAGGUAUGAAUGAUCAUUUGACCCUGUGAUUCUUCAGGACAAGAUCUUGAUGCCAUCCACACUCAGUACAUAAGGAAGGUUUUCUGGGAUCCACAGCGGAAGGGAUCAAGGCGUGAGAUGUUGGCUUGGACAGAUGUACCUGUACACCACACCGUGCACCGCACCUGCAACGAAUAAUUUAAAAAGGUGUAACUGAUGUGUUAUGUUUGUGAGAGAAAGGGAAAAAACAUUUUCUCGAAGACUAAAAUAUACAAAUUGCAGUGUUAUAGGGACUAUGUUUUGCUUCAAUAAUACUAGAUAUAAUAAAGUCAAGUCAAGUCACAUUUAUUUAUAUAGCGCUUUUCACAAUACAGAUUGUAUCAAAGCAGCUUCA